Molecule: ribosomal RNA, 465 nt
Filed under: uncultured bacterium
Lineage: Bacteria
Description: partial 16S ribosomal RNA
Rfam family: Bacterial small subunit ribosomal RNA
Source: RNAcentral
GACGAACGCUGGCGGCGUGCUUAACACAUGCAAGUCGAACGGAAAGGCCCUGCUUGCAGGGUACUCGAGUGGCGAACGGGUGAGUAACACGUGGGUGAUCUGCCCUGCACUUCGGGAUAAGCUUGGGAAACUGGGUCUAAUACCGGAUAGGAGCCAUCUUUAGUGUGGUGGUUGGAAAGUUUUUUCGGUGUAGGAUGAGCUCGCGGCCUAUCAGCUUGUUGGUGGGGUAAUGGCCUACCAAGGCGGCGACGGGUAGCCGGCCUGAGAGGGUGUACGGCCACAUUGGGACUGAGAUACGGCCCAGACUCCUACGGGAGGCAGCAGGGGGGAAUAUUGCACAAUGGGCGCAAGCCUGAUGCAGCGACGCCGCGUGGGGGAUGAAGGCCUUCGGGUUGUAAACUCCUUUCGCUAGGGACGAAGCUUUUUGUGACGGUACCUAGAUAAGAAGCACCGGCUAACUACGUG